Molecule: ribosomal RNA, 427 nt
Filed under: uncultured bacterium
Lineage: Bacteria
Description: bacterial SSU rRNA
Rfam family: Bacterial small subunit ribosomal RNA
Source: RNAcentral
UGAGGAAUCUUGCACAAUGGGCGAAAGCCUGAUGCAGCGACGCCGCGCGGAGGAUGAAGGUCUUCGGAUUGUAAACUCCUGUUAAACGGGAAGAAAGAUCUGUUUCUAAUACAAGCAGAUUAUGACGGUACCGUUAGAGAAAGCACCGGCUAACUUCGUGCCAGCAGCCGCGGUAAUACGAGGGGUGCAAGCGUUAUUCGGAUUGAUUGGGUGUAAAGGGUGUGCAGACGGCUUAUUAAGUCACUUGUUAAAUUCUUCGGCCUAACUGAAGGUCUGCAAGUGAUACUGAUGAGCUAGAGGGUGGAAGAGAGAAGUGGAAUUCUCGGAGUAGCGGUAAAAUGCGUAGAUCUCGAGAGGAACACCAAUGGCGAAGGCAGCUUCUUGGUCCAUUCCUGACGUUCAUACACGAAAGCGUGGGGAGCAAACA